GUAGCUGUAGCUCAGUGGAAGAGCACUUGCCUAGAAUGCAUGAGGCCCUGAGUUUCAUCCUCAGCACCCAAA
This 72-nucleotide transfer RNA is filed under the name Fukomys damarensis (Damara mole-rat). It matches the Rfam family "tRNA". From Rfam's summary of the family: Transfer RNA (tRNA) molecules are approximately 80 nucleotides in length. The record is from Rfam by way of RNAcentral. Lineage: Eukaryota; Metazoa; Chordata; Mammalia; Rodentia; Bathyergidae.